GGAGGAGUGUCCGAGCGGUUUAAGGAACUGGUCUUGAAAACCAGCGAUCCUGAAAGGGAUCCGUGGGUUCAAAUCCCACCUCCUCCUCCA
This 90-nucleotide transfer RNA is filed under the name Sporomusaceae bacterium. Its description in RNAcentral is "tRNA-Ser". It matches the Rfam family "tRNA". Rfam says of the family: Transfer RNA (tRNA) molecules are approximately 80 nucleotides in length. Their secondary structure includes four short double-helical elements and three loops (D, anti-codon, and T loops). The record is from RNAcentral. Lineage: Bacteria; Bacillati; Bacillota; Negativicutes; Selenomonadales; Sporomusaceae.